UACGUAGGGUGCGAGCGUUGUCCGGAAUUACUGGGCGUAAAGAGCUCGUAGGUGGUUUGUCGCGUUGUUCGUGAAAACCUGAGGCUUAACCUUGGGCGUGCGGGCGAUACGGGCAGACUGGAGUACUGCAGGGGAGACUGGAAUUCCUGGUGUAGCGGUGGAAUGCGCAGAUAUCAGGAGGAACACCGGUGGCGAAGGCGGGUCUCUGGGCAGUAACUGACGCUGAGGCGCGAAAGCUAGGGGAGCAAACGGG
Molecule: ribosomal RNA, 253 nt
Filed under: uncultured bacterium
Lineage: Bacteria
Description: partial 16S ribosomal RNA
Rfam family: Bacterial small subunit ribosomal RNA
Source: RNAcentral